UCUGAACCCGCAGGGGGGAGGGCGAGUAAAGCGGCGAACGGGUGAGUAACACGUAACGAACCUACCUUCGCGUUGGGGACAACCACAGGAAACUGCGGCUAAUACCCAAUGGUCUCUUUUCUCAUAAGAGGAACGAAGUAAAGACGCUUUUGUGUCACGCGAAGAGGGGGUUGCGGCCUAUCAGCUUGAUGGUGAGGUAACGGCUCACCAUGGCUCUGACGGGUAGCAGGUCUGAGAGGACGACCUGUCACAUGGGGACUGAGACACGGCCCUGACUCCUACGGGAGGCAGCAGUGGGGAAUCUUCGGCAAUGGGCGAAAGCCUGACCGAGCGACGCCGCGUGGGGGAUGAAGCCCUUCGGGGUGUAAACCUCUUUUCUGGGGGAAGAAAUAAGGAUAGUAGGUAAUGACUAUCUGAUGACGGUACCCCAGGAAUAAGAGACGGCUAACUCUGUGCCAGCAGCCGCGGUAAGACAGAGGUCUCAAGCGUUAUCCGGAUUCACUGGGCGUAAAGGGCGUCUAGGCGGUCUCGUGUGUCAUCUGUGAAAGCUCCCGGCUCAACUGGGAGAGGUCGGGUGAAACUACGAGACUCGAGCUUCGGAGGGGAGAGUGGAACUUCCAGAGUAACGGUGAAAUGUGCAGAUACUGGAAGGUACCUCGAUAGCGAAGGCAGCUCUCUGGCCGACAGCUGACGCUGAAGCGCGAAAGCGUGGGUAGCAAACCGGAUUAGAUACCCGGGUAGUCCACGCCCCAAACGAUGUCAACUAGGUGUUGGCUCCUUUAACUGAGGGCCAGUGCCGCAGCUAACGCGUUAAGUUGACCGCCUGGGGACUACGGCCGCAAGGCUAAAACUCAAGGGAAUUGACGGGGGCCCGCACAAGCGGUGGAGCACGUGGUUUAAUUCGAUGGUAAGCGAAGCACCUCACCUGGUCUUGACAUGCAUGUAGUACCGAGCCGAAAGGUAAGGGACUUCGACUCUUCGGAGAAGGGAGCAUGCACAGGUGCUGCAUGGCUGUCGUCAGCUCGUGUCGUAGGACGUCGGGUUAAGUCCCUCAACGAGCGCAACCCCCGCACUUUGUUGCUACCGGGUAAAGCCGAGCACUCUAAGUGGACUGCCAGCGAAUAGUUGGAGGAAGGAGGGGAUGACGUCAAGUCAGUAUGGCCCUUAUGACCAGGGCGACACACGUGCUACAAUGGCCGGUACAAAGGGUCGCGAACCCGCAAGGGGGAGCCAAUCUCAAAAAACCGGUCUCAGUUCAGAUUGGAGUCUGCAACCCGACUCCAUGAAGUAGGAAUCGCUAGUAAUCGUGGGUCAGCCACACCACGGUGAA
RNAcentral lists this ribosomal RNA (1330 nucleotides) under uncultured prokaryote. RNAcentral's name for it is "partial 16S ribosomal RNA". It matches the Rfam family "Bacterial small subunit ribosomal RNA", at positions 70 to 1366 of the family's 1533-position model. The record is from RNAcentral.